Non-coding RNA from Pantherophis guttatus, 1506 nucleotides. Lineage: Eukaryota; Metazoa; Chordata; Lepidosauria; Squamata; Colubridae. The record is from RefSeq and is a predicted model, not a curated record.
CUGGAAGUAAACCUGAGGAGGGCUGGGCCGCGGGGGUGUUUUCGGUGAUCUGCUUCCCGCCAAAGCUCGGCCCUCUUCCGCUUGGGGGACCGGGGAGGGGGGCGCUGCAACUUGUGGCGUCCGCAGUCCACCGCUUGUGGUCCCGGUGGUUCCGCAGGUGGAUCGUCUCGUACGACUCUGGAAGGUUCCCGGCCACCGCUCUAAGCCCCAAGGCGAAUGAUUGGGUUAUAGUUCGAUAUAAUUCAUAGAUUAAAAACUCGGGAGUGUCACGGCUGCUGUCCUAGUAGCCCGAGCUUCCUGCGGGGCGGAGCAGAAGGAGUAGCACUCAGUACCCAUGUCUGGUCGGUUUGUAGUAAUAGAGGCCUCACCGCAGGUGAUGAAGUCACCGGACCUUUCUGUCGGCCCACAGAGUUGUUUGCCCUUUAAUUUAAAUAGCAAGCACCGUCAUUUAAUAGCCGGAGUGUCCAUAUUUGGACUGCAAAAAUCCUAAAAGUUUCGUACUUUUUCAGGUUUUUCCAGCCGAGAUGCGAUAACCAUAGUUUUAACAAAGUGACAGUAUGGGCGAUUGAGAGCAGCAAGUUGAAAGAAUAAGGCAAGGGGCCAGACCAUCCCUGGAAACUGUUUGCUAAGAUUUUUUAAAAUGUUUACUUAGACAGAAUUUGGAUAACACUAAGGUGUAAUUCUAUUUCAGCAUCUUAAUUACAUUACAUACAGAUUUUUGCUACUAUGAUGUGAUGAACUCUUAAAAUGGUUAGGAGAAAUUUAUGGAAAUUAUAGUUUACUUCCAGUCUGUAGCAAGCUAUCUGUAUCCAGCACUUUUCUGUGUAUAGUGCACCUAGUUGUGAUAGGUUCUUUAGCUCAAUUAUGGAAAGCUAACCUUUCCUCAACCCUAUCAUAUGGCAGGAAAAAAACCCUGUAUGGCUGUAGAUGGAAACUGAAAAAGAAUUUGCACAAAUUCUGCUGUGGGAAUGGAUUUUUGCUGUUGCUUCUGCCGCUAGAAUUGAGGAUUGGAGAAACGAAGAAUUAACCAAACCAAAUUAAGAUUAUAUGUGGAGGCGUAAUCAAUUGUUAUGUAAUCUGAAUCAAUUAUGUUAAUUUGGAGAGAUGUGGCCACAAUCUAGACUAUUCAGGCUUUGGACAGCAUACUAUUUCAAACCACGGUUUGCUGGCCCAAGAAACAUGAAAUAAAGCAUGAGAUCAAGCUUUGACCCACCAUCACACCAUAGAAGGACAUGCUCUUCAGGUUGGCUGACCUAAGGCAUGCUCUACUAUUAAUCUGUCCACAAUCCACUCGAGCAUUUUUUCUUUUUCAGUUCCAGUGCAGUUGAUAGUACAUAUUUAUUGACUGCUUAAUUUGGAGAGCUAAAUAUAUACAAGCAAGAACCUAACUACUUCAUUCAUUGUUGUUAUAAUGAAAUAUCUGACAAUUUCUGAUUUGUACAAGGAACUAAAAGACUUCAGAUAUCUGAUUUUGUCUCAGUAAUAAAGAUAUUCUGAUCCUUUUGA